UACGAAGGGGGCUAGCGUUGCUCGGAAUGACUGGGCGUAAAGGGCGCGUAGGCGGAUGGCACAGUCAGAUGUGAAAUUCCUGGGCUUAACCUGGGGGGCUGCAUUUGAUACGUGUUGUCUUGAGUGAGGAAGAGGGUCGUGGAAUUCCCAGUGUAGAGGUGAAAUUCGUAGAUAUUGGGAAGAACACCGGUGGCGAAGGCGGCGACCUGGUCCUUAACUGACGCUGAGGCGCGAAAGCGUGGGGAGCAAACAGG
This 254-nucleotide ribosomal RNA is filed under the name uncultured bacterium. RNAcentral's name for it is "partial 16S ribosomal RNA". It matches the Rfam family "Bacterial small subunit ribosomal RNA", at positions 524 to 776 of the family's 1533-position model. The record is from RNAcentral.